RNAcentral lists this ribosomal RNA (490 nucleotides) under uncultured bacterium. RNAcentral's name for it is "partial 16S ribosomal RNA". It matches the Rfam family "Bacterial small subunit ribosomal RNA", at positions 28 to 507 of the family's 1533-position model. The record is from RNAcentral.
GAUGAACGCUAGCUACAGGCUUAACACAUGCAAGUCGCGGGGCAGCAUGGGGGUUGCUUGCCAUCCCCGAUGGCGACCGGCGCACGGGUGAGUAACGCGUAUCCAACCUGCCCUUCACCACGGGAUAACCCGGCGAAAGUCGGACUAAUACCGUAUGUUGUCCAUUGACGGCAUCCGAUUUGGACGAAAGGCUUGGCGGUGAGGGAUGGGGAUGCGUCCGAUUAGCCAGACGGCGGGGUAACGGCCCACCGUGGCUACGAUCGGUAGGGGUUCUGAGAGGAAGGUCCCCCACACUGGAACUGAGACACGGUCCAGACUCCUACGGGAGGCAGCAGUGAGGAAUAUUGGUCAAUGGGCGUAAGCCUGAACCAGCCAAGUAGCGUGCAGGAUGACGGCCCUAUGGGUUGUAAACUGCUUUUAUGCGGGGAUAAAGUGGCCCCCGGGUGGGCUUUUGCAGGUACCGCAUGAAUAAGGACCGGCUAAUUCCGUG